GAUGAAGAACGUAGCGAAAUGCGAUAAGUAAUGUGAAUUGCAGAAUUCAGUGAAUCAUCGAAUCUUUGAACGCACAUUGCGCCCGCCAGUAUUCUGGCGGGCAUGCCUGUCUGAGCGUCAUUUCAACCCUCAUGCCCCUAGGGCGUGGUGUUGGGGAUCGGCCAAAGCCCGCGAGGGACGGCCGGCCCCUAAAUCUAGUGGCGGACCCGUCGUGGCCUCCUCUGCGAAGUAGUGAUAUUCCGCAUCGGAGAGCGAUGAGCCCCUGCCGUUAAACCCCCAACUUUCCAAGGUUGACCUCAGAUCAGGUAGGGAUACCCGCUGAACUUAAGCAUAUCAAUAAGCGGAGGA
RNAcentral lists this unclassified non-coding RNA (348 nucleotides) under soil metagenome. RNAcentral describes it as "partial contains 5.8S ribosomal RNA, internal transcribed spacer 2, and large subunit ribosomal RNA". The stretch from base 1 to 120 matches the Rfam family "5.8S ribosomal RNA", at positions 35 to 154 of the family's 154-position model. The record is from RNAcentral.